Molecule: long non-coding RNA, 785 nt
Filed under: Sorghum bicolor (sorghum)
Lineage: Eukaryota; Viridiplantae; Streptophyta; Magnoliopsida; Poales; Poaceae
Description: long non-coding RNA (SBIC_LNC001778)
Source: RNAcentral
UGCACCCCUCCAAAAAUGAAUAAAAAACACACAAUGACUUUAAAAAAACUACCACAAAAAGAACUCUGGCCGAUAGGAUACAGACCGCCAAUACGGUAUUAGGCGUCUGUUAGACCUAGGUUGUGCGGCACUCAAGGCACACACACGGUCGACUGACUUGAUAGGAGAAUAUUCCAGUCCCCGACCGAGAAAACCCAUUGAACCUUGACUUGGUUUUUUUACCAUUGAACAAUAGUAAGAGGCAAAGGUAUAUAUUAUAGUUAGUUGGUGCAAAUGCACCCCUCCAAAAAUGAAUAAAAAACACACAAUGACUUUAAAAAAACUACCACAAAAAGAACUCUGGCCGAUAGGAUACAGACCGCCAAUACGGUAUUAGGUGUCUGUUAGACCUAGGUUGUGCGGCACUCAAGGCACACACACGGUCGACUGACUUGAUAGGAGAAUAUUCCAGUCCCCGACCGAGAAAACCCAUUGAACCUUGACUUGGUUUUUUUACCCCAUCCUAAAAUUCGUCCCAACCGAGGUUUGAACUCAGAACUUAGGGGUGCUACUGGAGAGAGAGUAAACCAACUGAACUAGCAUCCUUUGGCUAAAAAAAUACCAUAUAUACUAUAACACGAGUCUAUGUACGCACGAGACAAGUAUAUCUUUCUCUAAUUUUACCCUAACUUUGUCACUGAUACAAGGACAAUAUGUCGUGGUGAUACUGGUACGCUCAGUUGUUCCUUGUCUAGUGUUGCCAUGCCAUUGCCAUGUGAGCAUGUCCUUACCAAUUUUUAGACGAC